Molecule: ribosomal RNA, 487 nt
Filed under: uncultured bacterium
Lineage: Bacteria
Description: partial 16S ribosomal RNA
Rfam family: Bacterial small subunit ribosomal RNA
Source: RNAcentral
GAUGAACGCUAGCGAUAGGCUUAACACAUGCAAGUCGAGGGGCAGCACAAGGUAGCUUGCUAUCUGGGUGGCGACCGGCGCACGGGUGCGUAACGCGUAUGCAACUUGCCCUAUACAGGAGGAUAACCCGUCGAAAGACGGACUAAUACUGCGUAUGCUCACAACUUGGCAUCAAGUGGUGAGGAAAGAAAUUCGGUAUAGGAUAGGCAUGCGUCCCAUUAGCUUGUUGGUGAGGUAACGGCUCACCAAGGCAACGAUGCGUAGGGGAACUGAGGGGUGUAUCCCCCGGAAUGGUACUGCGACCCAGACCAGACUGCUACGGGAGGGAGCAGUGAGGAAUAUUAGUCAAUGGGGGCGGGCCUGAACCAGCCAGGUCGCGUGAAGGAUGACUGGCUUAUGGAUUGUAAACUUCUUUUAAACAAGAAAAACAAGAGUCACGUGUGACGCCCUGCAGGUACCUUAUGAAUAAGCAUCGGCUAACUCCGUG